Hippopotamus amphibius kiboko is the source of this 582-nucleotide non-coding RNA. NCBI's taxonomy places the organism in Eukaryota, Metazoa, Chordata, Mammalia, Artiodactyla, Hippopotamidae. The record is from the annotation of a RefSeq genome assembly.
AUGAAGAGGCUAGUGGGCUCUGUGCUGGGGCUUCUGUUUGCCCAGAUUUGCUGUGUGAAAGGGGAAGAUGUGAAGCAGAGUCCCCCAGCCCUGAGUCUCCAGGAGGGAGCCAGCUCCAUGCUUUGGUGUAAUUUUUCCACCGUUCCACGGAAUGUGCAGUGGUAUCUUCAGAACCCUGGGGGCCCCCUCACCCACCUGUUUUCCAUUCCUUCAGGGACAAGGCAGAAUGGAAGAUUAAAUGCCACGACAGACACUAAAAAACGGUGCAGCUCACUGUACAUUUCCUCUUCCCAGACCACAGACUCAGCCACUUACUUCUGUGCUGUGGAGCACAGUGCUCCCCAGGCACCUGCAGCCUGUGCACAAAUCCUCAGCGGGGCUCAACCCCUCCUCCAGCCACUGUCACACCCUGAGGCCACCACACCGUGUUUACAAUUCUUAGUUUUCCUUACCUACAUCAGUACAGUUUUAACCACAUACACUUUUUGGCCCUACAGAUUUGGGACUUUGGUCUUUUUCUUCCAUUCUCAAUAUAUAUCUCCUUCUGCACUAGAAACUUCUAACUUGGAGCUAGCAGAGUAG